AGCGAACGCUGGCGGCAGGCCUAACACAUGCAAGUCGAACGAACCUUUCGGGGUUAGUGGCGGACGGGUGAGUAACACGUGGGAACGUGCCUUUAGGUUCGGAAUAACUCAGGGAAACUUGUGCUAAUACCGAAUGUGCCCUUCGGGGGAAAGAUUAAUCGCCUUUAGAGCGGCCCGCGUCUGAUUAGCUAGUUGGUUGAGGUAAUGGCUCACCAAGGCGACGAUCAGUAGCUGGUCUGAGAGGAUGAUCAGCCACAUUGGGACUGAGACACGGCCCAAACUCCUACGGGAGGCAGCAGUGGGGAAUCUUGCGCGAUGGGCGAAAGCCUGACGCAGCCAUGCCGCGUGAAUGAUGAAGGUCUUAGGAUUGUAAAAUUCUUUCACCGGGGACGAUAAUGACGGUACCCGGAGAAGAAGCCCCGGCUAACUUCGUG
RNAcentral lists this ribosomal RNA (434 nucleotides) under uncultured bacterium. Its description in RNAcentral is "partial 16S ribosomal RNA". It matches the Rfam family "Bacterial small subunit ribosomal RNA", at positions 29 to 507 of the family's 1533-position model. The record is from RNAcentral.